This 402-nucleotide ribosomal RNA is filed under the name uncultured bacterium. RNAcentral's name for it is "bacterial SSU rRNA". It matches the Rfam family "Bacterial small subunit ribosomal RNA", at positions 355 to 774 of the family's 1533-position model. The record is from RNAcentral.
UCGGGAAUUUUGGGCAAUGGGCGAAAGCCUGACCCAGCAACGCCGCGUGAGGGAUGAAGUAUUUCGGUAUGUAAACCUCGAAAGAAUGGGAAGAAUAAAUGACGGUACCAUUUAUAAGCUCCGGCUAACUACGUGCCAGCAGCCGCGGUAAUACGUAGGGAGCAAGCGUUGUUCGGAUUUACUGGGCGUAAAGGGCGCGUAGGCGGCGCGGUAAGUCACUUGUGAAAUCUCUGAGCUUAACUCAGAACGGCCAAGUGAUACUGCUGUGCUAGAGUGCGGAAGAGGCAACCGGAAUUCUUGGUGUAGCGGUGAAAUGCGUAGAUAUCAAGAGGAACACCUGAGGCGAAGGCGGGUUGCUGGGCCGACACUGACGCCGAUGCGCGAAAGCCAGGGGAGCAAACG